CUAAAUGACUCUCGGCAACGGAUAUCUCGGCUCUCGCAUCGAUGAAGAACGUAGCGAAAUGCGAUACUUGGUGUGAAUUGCAGAAUCCCGUGAACCAUCGAGUCUUUGAACGCAAGUUGCGCCCGAAGCCUCUCGGCUGAGGGCACGUCUGCCUGGGCGUC
This 161-nucleotide ribosomal RNA is filed under the name Pterygiella muliensis. Its description in RNAcentral is "5.8S ribosomal RNA". It matches the Rfam family "5.8S ribosomal RNA". From Rfam's summary of the family: 5.8S ribosomal RNA (5.8S rRNA) is a component of the large subunit of the eukaryotic ribosome. It is transcribed by RNA polymerase I as part of the 45S precursor that also contains 18S and 28S rRNA. The record is from RNAcentral. Lineage: Eukaryota; Viridiplantae; Streptophyta; Magnoliopsida; Lamiales; Orobanchaceae.